GUGGAUUAGAUACCCUGGUAGUCCUGGCAGUAAACGGUGCACGCUUGGUAUGGGGGGAAUCGACCCCUCCCGUGCCGGAGCUAACGCGUUAAGCGUGCCGCCUGGGAAGUACGGUCGCAAGAUUAAAACUCAAAGAAAUUGACGGGGACCCGCACAAGCGGUGGAGUAUGUGGCUUAAUUCGAUGCAACGCGAAGAACCUUACCUGGGCUUGACAUGCAUCUCUCAAACGGUGAAAGCCGUGGAUAGGAGCAAUCCUAAAUUUGCACAGGUGUUGCACGGCGGUCGCCAACU
RNAcentral lists this ribosomal RNA (292 nucleotides) under uncultured bacterium. RNAcentral describes it as "partial 16S ribosomal RNA". It matches the Rfam family "Bacterial small subunit ribosomal RNA", at positions 773 to 1060 of the family's 1533-position model. The record is from RNAcentral.